AGUGAACGCUGGCGGUAGGCCUAACACAUGCGAGUCGAACGGCAGCACAGUAAGAGCUUGCUCUUACGGGUGGCGAGUGGCGGACGGGUGAGGAAUACAUCGGAAUCUACUUUUUCGUGGGGGAUAACGUAGGGAAACUAACGCUAAUACCGCAUACGACCAACGGGUGAAAGCAGGGGAUCUUCGGACCUUGCGCGAUUGAAUGAGCCGAUGUCGGAUUAGCUAGUUGGCGGGGUAAAGGCCCACCAAGGCGACGAUCCGUAGCUGGUCUGAGAGGAUGAUCAGCCACACUGGAACUGAGACACGGUCCAGACUCCUACGGGAGGCAGCAGUGGGGAAUAUUGGACAAUGGGCGCAAGCCUGAUCCAGCCAUACCGCGUGGGUGAAGAAGGCCUUCGGGUUGUAAAGCCCUUUUGUUGGGAAAGAAAAGCAGCAGGUUAAUACCCCGCUGUUCUGACGGUACCCAAAGAAUAAGCACCGGCUAACUUCGUG
RNAcentral lists this ribosomal RNA (492 nucleotides) under uncultured bacterium. RNAcentral describes it as "partial 16S ribosomal RNA". It matches the Rfam family "Bacterial small subunit ribosomal RNA", at positions 29 to 507 of the family's 1533-position model. The record is from RNAcentral.